RNAcentral lists this long non-coding RNA (199 nucleotides) under Elaeis guineensis (African oil palm). Its description in RNAcentral is "long non-coding RNA (EGUI_LNC043100)". The record is from RNAcentral. Lineage: Eukaryota; Viridiplantae; Streptophyta; Magnoliopsida; Arecales; Arecaceae.
CUUAAGAUGAGAAGUAAGAGAAAGAAUUUUAGAUAAGAUACUCUCAGAAAGCUUACAGAUGGAGGAAGGGAAGGGAUGAACCUAGCAACUCUAGAAGAAGAUUCGCUUCUUCUCUUUGCUCUAACCUAGACACCUAGUUUUGUGUCUAUUAGAUCUCGAUGCCUUAAAACUCUUUCUCCUUGAUUUUUGGAUUCCCUAA